AUACGGAGGGUCCAAGCGUUAUCCGGAAUCAUUGGGUUUAAAGGGUCCGUAGGCGGACAAUUAAGUCAGAGGUGAAAGCCCACAGCUCAACUGUGGAACUGCCUUUGAUACUGGUUGUCUUGAAUUAUAGUGAAGUAGAUAGAAUAUGUAGUGUAGCGGUGAAAUGCAUAGAUAUUACAUAGAAUACCGAUUGCGAAGGCAGUCUACUAACUAUAUAUUGACGCUGAUGGACGAAAGCGUGGGGAGCGAACAGGAGUAGAUACCCUAGUAGUCC
RNAcentral lists this ribosomal RNA (274 nucleotides) under uncultured bacterium. Its description in RNAcentral is "partial 16S ribosomal RNA". It matches the Rfam family "Bacterial small subunit ribosomal RNA", at positions 523 to 796 of the family's 1533-position model. The record is from RNAcentral.